GACGAACGCUGGCGGCGUGCUUAACACAUGCAAGUCGAACGGAAAGGCCCUGCUUUUGUGGGGUGCUCGAGUGGCGAACGGGUGAGUAACACGUGAGUAACCUGCCCUUGACUUUGGGAUAACUUCAGGAAACUGGGGCUAAUACCGGAUAGGAGCUCCUGCUGCAUGGUGGGGGUUGGAAAGUUUCGGCGGUUGGGGAUGGACUCGCGGCUUAUCAGCUUGUUGGUGGGGUAGUGGCUUACCAAGGCUUUGACGGGUAGCCGGCCUGAGAGGUUGACCGGCCACAUUGGGACUGAGAUACGGCCCAGACUCCUACGGGAGGCAACAGUGGGGAAUAUUGCACAAUGGGCGGAAGCCUGAUGCAGCAACGCCGCGUGCGGGAUGACGGCCUUCGGGUGGUAAACCGCUUUCGCCUGUGACGAAGCGUGAGUGACGGUAAUGGGUAAAGAAGCACCGGCUAACUACGU
This 467-nucleotide ribosomal RNA is filed under the name uncultured bacterium. RNAcentral describes it as "partial 16S ribosomal RNA". It matches the Rfam family "Bacterial small subunit ribosomal RNA", at positions 28 to 506 of the family's 1533-position model. The record is from RNAcentral.